AUUUUUAUUUGUGUAUAUCAAAUAUCCUGAUUUAUUACAGUUCACUAAUAAUUUGUUUGCAUUUAUAAAUGAUGCAAUAAGAUCUAAAUUGAAGUACAUUUUAUCAGUCAAACUUAGGAAAUUUUUACCCAAAUGUGAAAUAAUUAAAUCAUAUGCAUAAGCAAUAAUAAUAAUGUAAUGUUUCUAUAUAUUGUAGUUUUAAUAUAAGAUGCAGGGAAAUCCACUGCAUCUGGUAGUUUCUAAUCUAUCUUCCUCUCUCCUCGAAUUCUUCCUGAGCAAACCCUCUCAUCGUCCUUCCUUGUUAAUUUUUCUAGUGUCCCCUCGAAUUAGCAGUCAAGACCUGAGCUGGUUCUUACAGAUCCCCACCUUUAAGGUCAUUAUCUCUCCUGAGAUGAUAUUUAACACAGUUUGAAAUAUCUACUGGUCUUUGACUGUCCUCAUUUGUAGGUG
Molecule: long non-coding RNA, 450 nt
Filed under: Androctonus crassicauda
Lineage: Eukaryota; Metazoa; Arthropoda; Arachnida; Scorpiones; Buthidae
Source: RNAcentral